Molecule: long non-coding RNA, 4351 nt
Organism: Oncorhynchus tshawytscha (Chinook salmon)
Lineage: Eukaryota; Metazoa; Chordata; Actinopteri; Salmoniformes; Salmonidae
Source: Ensembl
GGGUGUUGAGUUAAGGCUGCUGACCUUGUCUGACAUUGAUGAAGAACACAUGAUACAUAGACGGAUUACAGCCCAGCUCACACAGAGAGCAGUCUACAACAGGCCCCGCUCACAUAGAGCGCAGUCUACAACAGGCCUCACUCAUACAGAGAGCAGUCUACAACAGGCCGCACUCAUACAGAGAGCAGUCUACAACAGGCCACACUCAUACAGAGAGCAGUCUACAACAGGCCCCACUCACACAGAGAGCAGUCUACAACAGGCCCCACUCACACAGACAGUAGUCUACAACAGAACCCAUUCACACAGUGAGCAGUCUACAAUAGGCACACACUGGGGGUAGUAGUCUAGUCAUACAGUACAUAGAUACUAAUACACUGGGGGUAUUCCUGAUCAAACACAUGGUCAGAGUCCCUAACACUUCCAGGGGGAGGGAGUGGGAGUGAAACUGAGGGCCCUUACCUUACUGUACCUGUGGAUUCUCUAACCAUCUACCAUAUUGCUAUCUUUAAAAUAUGACUUGUGCUCUUAUUCAAGGUUGCUAGACUCUCUGUAAUACAAUAUUAAUAUGUUCACUACUGUAAAUGGGUCAGAAAUUACAAUGUGAGUGUGCAUAGGAAAAUUAUUAUAUUUAUUAUUAAGUUAUAUAAUGUAAAUACAUAUAAAAACAUGAAUGAUUUUCUUUGUGUUCUUUCUGUUUUUAAUUGUUUUUUAGCUUUCUGUCCUCGUGCUGCCCUUAAUAAGUCCUUGCUCCCACCGAGCGCUUUUUCAGCUAUACAGCCAGUUGAAACUCGUCCAAAACACUCAAUCAUCCAAGAACUAGGCCGGAGCUAUCUUUAGUCGAUUUAAGGAUCAAAAGUAUAAAAUUGCAACACAAAAAGUCACAGCAUACAAAACAUGCACAUACUAAGUAGCUAACAUGUUGAUAGCAGCUAGCUACGUUCAUUUCAAUAGGAACGGCUAAUCCGGUUUAGGCUAGUGACAAUAUAUCUGUAAAAGUAACACAAACAUAUGAUAUGUAAGUGUUAAUAAAACAACCAGGAAUGUUACUACUUACAGAUGAUGCCAACUGAAGGGUUAUAAAGGACAGGAUGGAGGUGGAUAAAACAGUAUAUCUUGGUUAGACUGAACACUAAACAGCAGUAAACAAAAAAAUCAUUCAUUUCAUAUGAAUGGCACUUCUUCUGCAAUAUAAAGACCAUUAGGUGGGAGCAAAGGCAAAACAUGCUUAAUGUGGUCCAUGAUGCAACAACAUGGUUUCAGAAUCAACUAGGACAGGGAAUGUGGGACAUUUAGAAACUUUGAAUUACUCACAUGUCAAACGAUAUUUUCCUAGUUUCUAAAUAUUAGCUUUGUCAUGUUAUAUUUUUGGUAUUUUAAUUUAACUUUUUAUUACGUUUAUAUUAUUCAUAAAUGUCUGCACUAAAUGCCUGUGAAGUUCUUAACUUAAGGUGCACUUUAUGUAUUUUUGUUACUUUCUCAUUAUUGAAUGUUAUUGGUUUUGUAGAAAUGGAGGUCAGGUGGGGCUUCUGACCAAUGAUACUGGAUUAUUACUGAUUACUCAUUGUCGUAGGAACUCUGAUCUACAAAGCAAAGUAAUGAAUGAUAAUAUAAAGUGCAAACAAUGUUUUUAAAUGUCUGAAGAUAUUUAGACUUUAUAGCACAUUGUAACAGCUGCAUAUAUUGGCCAUCCCCCUCAAGCCAACUCCAGAUCCCUUCAUAGACAUACGGAUCUCAUACGCAAGUGGCUUGUGUUCUUUUUUUAUCCUUCCCAUGAGUGAAAAUGCUCCUCUUUUGCAGUUUCCUUAUAGCUACUAUUCAAUUAAAUCACAAAGCGCUUAACUUCAGAGUCAAAGGAAAGUCCUGGAGAGAGAAAUGUAAAGGUUGUAUUCAUGACUAACAUAUUUUUAUAUUUGCCAGGUGAGAGUAUAAAAACAAUGGGUGUGUGAAUGUACUUCAGUCAGAUUGAAUGCUCACUCAGUUGUCACUGCUUCAUGGACAGCUUCCAUUUUGAUCUUGUCUGCUAUUCAAAUGACUGAAUAAAAUUAUUCAAAUGGUUCCCUACCCACAAGAUAGCUCAUUUGGACAACUAUAAAACCAUACUGUAUGUGUGAGGAAUUGUACUAUUCUUUCAAAAAGGACUUUAAAAGGACUUGUUUUCCAACUUUCAAUGUACAUUAGUUGACUGUAAAAUGUAAAUUAGUUGGCUGUAAAUAUUCAGAUGCAUGUUUUAUUAUUUGUCCUGAUCUCAAACAGAAACACAUACAGUAUACACAGUGUCCUGAAUCUGGUCUGGGAUCUGUGAUAGACAUCUGGGAUAUACAUCUGGGAAAUACAUCUGGUCUGGGUUCUGUGAUUGACAUCUGGGAUAUACAUCUGGUCUGGGUUCUGUGAUGGACAUCCUAGCCAUUCAAGGGUUUUUCUUUAUUUUUUAAAACUAUUUUCUACAUUGUAGGAUAGUAGUGAAAACAUCAAAACUAUGAAAUAACACAUAUGGAAUCAUGUAGUAACCAAAAAAAGUGUUAAACAAAUCCAAAAAUAUAUAUUUUUUCAGAUUCUUCAAAGUAGCCACCCUUUGCCUUGAUGACAGCUUUGCACACUCUUGACGUUUUCUCAACCAGCUUCACUUGGAAUGAUUUUCCCACAGUCUUGAAGGAGUUCCCACAUAUGCUGAGCACUUAUUGGCUGCUUUUCCUUCACUUUGUGGUCCAACUCAUCGCAAACCAUCUCAACUGGGUUGAGGUUGGGUGAUUGUGGAGGCCAGAUCAUCUGAUGCAGCACUCCAUCACUCUCCUUAUUGGUCAAAUAGCCUUUACACAGCCUGGAGGUGUGUUGGGUCAUUGUCCUGUUGAAGAAAAAAAUGAUAGUCCCACUAAGCGCAAACUAGAUGGGACGGUGUAGAAUUCUGUGGUAGCCAUGCUGGUUAAGUGUGCCUUGAAUUCUAAAUAAAUCACUGACAGUGUCACCAGCAAAGCACCACCACUCCAUGACACCUCCUUCUCCAUGCUUCAUGAUGGGAACCAUACCUUCAGAGAUCAUCUGUUCACCUACUCUGCGUCUCACAAAGACACGGCGGUUGGAACCAAAAACAAAACUUUGGGCAUCAGACCAAAGGACAUAUUUCCACCGAUCUAAUGUCUAUUGCUCGUGUUUCUUGGCCCAAGAAAGUAUUUUCUUCUUAUUGGUGCCCUUUAGUAGUGCCCUUUAGUAGUAGUGGUUUCUUUGCAGUAAUUCGACCAUGAAGGCCUGAUUCACGAAGUCUCUCGUGAACAGUUGAGAUGUGUGUGUUACUUGAGCUCUGUAAAGCUUUUAUUUGGGCUGCAAUUUCUGAGGCUGGUAACUCUAAUGAACUUAUCCUCUGCAGAGUCUUCCUUUCCUGUGUUGGUCCUCAUGGGAGCCAGUUUCAUCAUAGCGCUUGAUGGUUUUUGCGACUGCACUUUAAGAAACUUUCAAAGUUCUUGACAUUUUCCGGAUUGACUGACAUUAAUUUGAAAUGCAUUCCAGGUGACUACCUCAUGAAGCUGGUUGAGAGAAUUCCAAGAAUGUGCAAAGCUGUCAUCAAGGCAAAGGUUCGCUUUGAAGAAUCUCAAAUAUAAAAUAUAUUUUGAUUUGUUUAGCACUUUUUUGGUUACUUAUCUGGGAUAGACAUGUGGGAUAUACAUGUGGGAUAGACAUCUGGGAUAGACAUGUGGGAUAUACAUGUGGGAUAUACAUCUGGGACACACAUCUGGGAUAUACAUGUGGGAUAUACAUGUGGGAUAUACAUGUGGGAUAUACAUCUGGGAUAUACAUGUGGGAUAUACAUGUGGGAUAUACAUCUGGGAUAUACAUGUGGGAUAUACAUCUGGGAUAUACAUGUGGGAUAUACAUCUGGGAUAUACAUGUGGGAUAUACAUCUGGGAUAUACAUCUGGGAUAUACAUGUGGGAUAUACAUCUGGGAUAUACAUGUGGGAUAUACAUCUGGGAUAUACAUGUGGGAUAUACAUCGGGGAUAUACAUCUGGGAUAUACAUGUGGGAUAUACAUCUGGGAUAUACAUCUGGGAUAUACAUGUGGGAUAUACAUCUGGGAUAAAGUAAUGAAGCUGUAUCCUUUCCACCAGACCUCCAACCAGACAAAACGCAAAACUCUGAAGCGUUCUAGUUUUAUAAUUGUAUUUUUAUUUAAAUGUAUUUGCUUGCUGAGCAGAGUUCUUUAGUCUGUAAAUGUGAGCUUGCAGAGCGCUGUGAUGAAAUAUUAAUUAAAAACUAAAAUAAUGUGUUUUUAUCUCAUGAUAACUGAUUGUAAUCUGUACAGUCAACCCUAUGUAUUGAAGAAUAGCAUAUUUAUAAAUGGUUACCAACUGAAAAAC